GGGGAGGGGCGCGGGGACUCAAGCCACGGUUUUUGUGUCCGCGGCUGCACCCCUCUCGAAGCGUUUUCACGCACAUGUGAGAAACCUCACACCCUGGGGCCGAUUUCUUUAGUAGAUUGGCGCCCAAAUGGCAAAGAUUUCCAGGGAUUUGUUUGGGAUUCCAUAUUUUUGUAGAUUUGCCGAGAUUGGAUACUAGUACAAUAUUGAGAAUUCCCGUCCAGCAAUGUGGCUAUUUUUUUAAAUUAAUUCAGUUCUCCCUUUGUUUUUCAGGCAGUCCUCUUUGAUUUGUAGGGAUAACAUCACUAUUAUAAAACCUACGAUUGGUGCUCAAGGUAUUUUCAGACCCCUCCCUGGAUGGAUCAGCUGCUCCCACCCAGACUGAUGGUCUUGUGGCUUCCACUCAGGAACUGACUCAGCACAAGAGGACAGCUUUGACUCCCCAUUCCUGGGGGACCAGUCAGCACUCCCCACUACCUGCCCCCCAUCCAUGAGAUUAUCCUUAAAAACCCCAGUCUCCGAAUUUUCAGGGAGACUGAUCUGAGCAAUAAUAAAACGGCAGUCUCCUGUACAACCAGCUGUGUGAAUUAAACUCUUUCUCUGUUACAAUUCCUUUGUCUUGAUAAAUCGGCUCUAUUUGGGCAGUGGGCAAAAUGAACCUGAUGGGCAGUUACUAAGGGUGAAGUGUGGGAGUAGGGUUACAGAUUAAAGGAUAGUUUAGGAAGGCAUCCCAGAGGUGAGGCCAAAGCAGAAUCUUGAAGGGCAAGAAUUAUCCAGGCAAAGAAGGUAAGGAUAGAGAAGAGUAUUCAGGCCAGGCAUGGUGGCUCACGCCUGUAAUCAUAGCUCUUUGGGAGGCUGAGGUGGGCAGGUCACGAGCCUG
This 877-nucleotide long non-coding RNA is filed under the name Homo sapiens (human). RNAcentral describes it as "HSALNT0298004". The record is from RNAcentral. Lineage: Eukaryota; Metazoa; Chordata; Mammalia; Primates; Hominidae.